GUAUUUACCAUGUUAACCAUUUAUAAAUGUACAGUUCAGUGGUAUUAAGUCCGUUCAUGUUGUUAUGCAACCAUCACCAUCAUCCAUCUACAGAACACUUUUCAUCUUCCCCAGCCGGAACUCUUGACCCUUUAAAAUAUAACCUCCCACUUUCCCCGCCCCCUAGCCUCUGGCAGCCACCUUUCUACUUUCUGUCUCCAUGAUCUUGACUACUCUAGGUACCUCAUCCCUGAGCUAACGUCCAUGCCCACCUUCCUCUACUGUAUAUGUGGGACGCCUGCCUCAGCAUGGCUUGACAAGUGGUACCAUGUCUGCGCUUGGGAUCUGAACCGGUGAACCCCGGGCCACCGAAGCAGAAUGUUGGAACUUAAGCACUGUGCCGCUGGGCUGGCCCCGUAACAUAGUCCUUUCCAUGGUUACAUGAUAUCCCGUUGUGUGGAUGUGUUAUAGUUAAUUUAAGCAGCCCUCUAUUGAUGAGUAGGCAAGUGGUAGUCCACUUUAGCUGUUUAUAAAAUGCCACGGUAAACAUCCUCUCCAUAGGUCUUUAUGUAUGCGUGAAGUAUGUUUGUAGGCUAACUUCUUGGAAAUAGAAUUGUUGGGGUAAAGGCUAUGUGUACUUUUAAUUUUCAUAAAUUCUGCCUAAUUGCCAUUCAAAAAAGUUGUACCUAAUUUCACUCUCACUGGUGACUUGUGAUAGUUUAGCCAAAUUUAUUCACAGAAUUGUCUACUCUUGCUUUCUCCACUGCUUCACCUCCUGCUUACUUAUUUGGCUUCACUCUAUGACUCCACCUUAAAUGGAUCUAAGGUCACCAAUGAUCUUCAGGUUGUCCAUUGGACAGUUUUCAGGUCUCAUCUCACUGCCUCUCAGAAAUGUUUUAUACAGUUAACCACUCUCUCCUUUCUGAAACACACUUGCCCUGGCUUUCAUAAGGCCAUACUGUAACUACAGGACCGGAAACAGAAUUUGCCACCCCAAAAUAUGCCUCUUUGGUAUAAGAAUUAUUUUG
RNAcentral lists this long non-coding RNA (1007 nucleotides) under Equus caballus (horse). RNAcentral's name for it is "lncRNA (ENSECAG00000053709.1)". The record is from RNAcentral. Lineage: Eukaryota; Metazoa; Chordata; Mammalia; Perissodactyla; Equidae.